CAAAAACAGACAUUCUUAUUAAGAAAAUAAUGAUUAGAGAAUACCCAAUGGAGGCAUCUCUAGUCAUUUAUCAAAAAUAUACAUAAUGCAAACUCAUCACACAAAAAUAAAUGUUCCAAUGAAAGAUAGAUAAGUUAUUCAAAAGGCAAACUCGAUGCACUAAGCUUUCACUACGCGCAGAGUCUGGAGAAGGGCUAGAUCACAAGGGGCAUUUGGAACAUGAAUGGAAACUGAACAUUUUGCCUUGGUGAAACAAUUUAACACCAAAGGUCUUCUGUCUUCUCUUCCCGUGCCACGGUUAUAAACAUCAGAGAAGACAGAAGACC
RNAcentral lists this unclassified non-coding RNA (326 nucleotides) under Hevea brasiliensis (rubber tree). The record is from RNAcentral. Lineage: Eukaryota; Viridiplantae; Streptophyta; Magnoliopsida; Malpighiales; Euphorbiaceae.